RNAcentral lists this ribosomal RNA (253 nucleotides) under uncultured bacterium. Its description in RNAcentral is "partial 16S ribosomal RNA". It matches the Rfam family "Bacterial small subunit ribosomal RNA", at positions 524 to 776 of the family's 1533-position model. The record is from RNAcentral.
GACGGAGGGGGCUAGCGUUGUUCGGAAUUACUGGGCGUAAAGAGCAUGUAGGCGGAUUAAUAAGUUGGAAGUGAAAGCCCGGGGCUUAACCUCGGAACUGCUUUCAAAACUGUUAAUCUAGAGUGUAGUAGGGGAUGACGGAAUUCCUAGUGUAGAGGUGAAAUUCUUAGAUAUUAGGAGGAACACCGGUGGCGAAGGCGGUCAUCUGGGCUACAACUGACGCUGAGAUGCGAAAGCGUGGGGAGCAAACAGG